RNAcentral lists this ribosomal RNA (426 nucleotides) under uncultured bacterium. RNAcentral's name for it is "bacterial SSU rRNA". It matches the Rfam family "Bacterial small subunit ribosomal RNA", at positions 355 to 786 of the family's 1533-position model. The record is from RNAcentral.
UGGGGAAUAUUGCGCAAUGGGGGAAACCCUGAUGCAGCGACGCCGCGUGAAGGAAGAAGGCCUUCGGGUUGUAAACUUCUUUUACCAGGGACGAAGGACGUGACGGUACCUGGAGAAAAAGCAACGGCUAACUACGUGCCAGCAGCCGCGGUAAUACGUAGGUUGCAAGCGUUGUCCGGAUUUACUGGGUGUAAAGGGCGUGUAGGCGGAGGCGCAAGUUGGGAGUGAAAAUCUAUGGGCUCAACCCAUAAAACUGCUCUCAAAAAACUGUGCCCCUUGAGUAUCGGAGAGGCAAGCGGAAUUCCUAGUGUAGCGGUGAAAAUGCGUAGAUAUUAGGAGGAACACCAGUGGCGAAAGGCGGCUUGCUGGACGACAAACUGACGCUGAGGCGCGAAAAGCGUGGGGAGCAAAACAGGAUUAGAUACC